GACGAACGCUGGCGGCGUGCCUAAUACAUGCAAGUUGAGCGCUGAAGGUUGGUACUUGUACCAACUGGAUGAGCAGCGAACGGGUGAGUAACGCGUGGGGAAUCUGCCUUUGAGCGGGGGACAACAUUUGGAAACGAAUGCUAAUACCGCAUAAAAACUUUAAACACAAGUUUUAAGUUUGAAAGAUGCAAUUGCAUCACUCAAAGAUGAUCCCGCGUUGUAUUAGCUAGUUGGUGAGGUAAAGGCUCACCAAGGCGAUGAUACAUAGCCGACCUGAGAGGGUGAUCGGCCACAUUGGGACUGAGACACGGCCCAAACUCCUACGGGAGGCAGCAGUAGGGAAUCUUCGGCAAUGGACGAAAGUCUGACCGAGCAACGCCGCGUGAGUGAAGAAGGUUUUCGGAUCGUAAAACUCUGUUGGUAGAGAAGAACGUUGGCGAGAGUGGAAAGCUCAUCAAGUGACGGUAACUACCCAGAAAGGGACGGCUAACCACGUG
Molecule: ribosomal RNA, 497 nt
Filed under: uncultured bacterium
Lineage: Bacteria
Description: partial 16S ribosomal RNA
Rfam family: Bacterial small subunit ribosomal RNA
Source: RNAcentral